Molecule: ribosomal RNA, 465 nt
Filed under: Triticum aestivum (bread wheat)
Lineage: Eukaryota; Viridiplantae; Streptophyta; Magnoliopsida; Poales; Poaceae
Description: partial small subunit ribosomal RNA
Source: RNAcentral
AUGCCGCCCCCGCCGCGGCCGCGGACGAGGCGGACGAGAAGGCGACGGGGAAGGCGGCCAGGGCGGCCGCGCCGGACAAGUCCAUCCACCUCGUCCCCCUCCUCACGCUCCUCUGCCUCCUCGUCCUCUUCCUCUUCUCCCACGACCCGGCCACUUCCCGCGCCAUCGCCGGUAAGUAGCCAGCCAAACGUUCGCUCCACUCCCUUCCCCUCGCCGGCCCUGCUCCUAACGCCGCUCGCGCGUCCCUGCAGAUUCGCCGCCCGUCCUGGCCGUCACCGCCCGCUCCCUCGAGGCCACAGCGGACACGACGCCGUCGGUGGCUCGCGGCGGCGCGCACCAGCGGCUGAAGGCGGACCCGACGCCGCGCCGCGGGCGAAGGCUGGGGGCGCCGCGGCGGUGACGGCGACGGCGCGGAAUUGGGGAACGGGGAGGCUAAGGCUGGCCCACGUCCGCGCAAGCAGCUAG